AAACCUAUGGAAAUGAAACGUCAACAAAA
RNAcentral lists this small RNA (29 nucleotides) under Bombyx mori (domestic silkworm). RNAcentral's name for it is "ovarian small RNA-9950". The record is from RNAcentral. Lineage: Eukaryota; Metazoa; Arthropoda; Insecta; Lepidoptera; Bombycidae.